Molecule: ribosomal RNA, 459 nt
Filed under: uncultured bacterium
Lineage: Bacteria
Description: partial 16S ribosomal RNA
Rfam family: Bacterial small subunit ribosomal RNA
Source: RNAcentral
CCUACGGGAGGCAGCAGUGAGGAAUAUUGGUCAAUGGGAGAGAUCCUGAACCAGCCAAGCCGCGUGAGGGAAGACGGCCCUAUGGGUUGUAAACUUCUUUUGUCGGGGAACAAAACCCGGGACGUGUCCCGGACUGCGUGUAUCCGAAGAAAAAGCAUCGGCUAACUCCGUGCCAGCAGCCGCGGUAAAACGGAGGAUGCGAGCGUUAUCCGGAUUUGUUGGGUUUAAAGGGUGCGUAGGUGGUCCGUUAAGUCAGCGGUAAAAGUGCGGGGCUCAACCCCGUCGAGCCGUUGAAACUGGCAGACUUGAGUUGGCGAGAGGUACGCGGAAUGCGCGGGGUAGCGGUGAAAUGCAUAGAUAUCGCGAAGAACUCCGAUUGCGAAGGCAGCGUACUGGCGUCAGACUGACGCUGAGGCACGAAAGCGUGGGGAUCGAACAGGAUUAGAUACCCGUGUAGUC